RNAcentral lists this ribosomal RNA (1362 nucleotides) under uncultured bacterium. RNAcentral describes it as "bacterial SSU rRNA". It matches the Rfam family "Bacterial small subunit ribosomal RNA", at positions 28 to 1381 of the family's 1533-position model. The record is from RNAcentral.
AUUGAACGCUGGCGGUAUGCUUAACACAUGCAAGUCGAACGGAAACGAUACUAGCUUGCUAGUAGGCGUCGAGUGGCGGACGGGUGAGUAACGCGUAGGAAUCUGCCUGAUAGUGGGGGAUAGCCCGGAGAAAUUCGGAUUAAUACCGCAUAAUCUAUUCGUAGUAAAGUGGGGGACUUUCGAGCCUCACGCUAUCAGAUGAGCCUGCGUAAGAUUAGCUUGUUGGUAGGGUAAAAGCCUACCAAGGCGACGAUCUUUAGCUGGUCUGAGAGGAUGAUCAGCCACAUCGGGACUGAGACACGGCCCGAACUCCUACGGGAGGCAGCAGUGGGGAAUAUUGGACAAUGGGGGCAACCCUGAUCCAGCAAUACCGCGUGUGUGAAGAAGGCCUGAGGGUUGUAAAGCACUUUCAAUUGUGAAGAAAAGUUAACGGUUAAUAACCGUUAGCCUUGACGUUAACUUUAGAAGAAGCACCGGCUAACUCCGUGCCAGCAGCCGCGGUAAUACGGAGGGUGCAAGCGUUAAUCGGAAUUACUGGGCGUAAAGCGUGCGUAGGCGGUUUAUUAAGUCAGAUGUGAAAGCCCCGGGCUUAACCUGGGAACUGCAUUUGAAACUGGUAAACUAGAGUAUGGUAGAGGAAAGUGGAAUUUCUGGUGUAGCGGUGAAAUGCGUAGAUACCAGAAGGAACAUCAAUGGCGAAGGCAGCUUUCUGGACCAAUACUGACGCUGAGGUACGAAAGCGUGGGUAGCAAACAGGAUUAGAUACCCUGGUAGUCCACGCCGUAAACGAUGAUAACUAGCCGUUGGGGGGAUUUACCCUUUAGUGGCGAAGCUAACGCGUUAAGUUAUCCGCCUGGGGAGUACGGCCGCAAGGUUAAAACUCAAAGGAAUUGACGGGGACCCGCACAAGCGGUGGAGCAUGUGGUUUAAUUCGAUGCAACGCGAAGAACCUUACCUGGUCUUGACAUCCUGCGAACUUUCUAGAAAUAGAUUGGUGCCUUCGGGAACGCAGUGACAGGUGCUGCAUGGCUGUCGUCAGCUCGUGUCGUGAGAUGUUGGGUUAAGUCCCGUAACGAGCGCAACCCCUAUCCUUAUUUGCCAGCACAUUAUGGUGGGAACUAUAGGGAGACUGCCGGUGAUAAACCGGAGGAAGGCGGGGACGACGUCAAGUCAUCAUGGCCCUUACGACCAGGGCUACACACGUGCUACAAUGGGAAGGACAAAGAGCCGCGAAGCCGCGAGGUGUAGCUAAUCUCAUAAACCUUUUCGUAGUCCGGAUUGGAGUCUGCAACUCGACUCCAUGAAGUCGGAAUCGCUAGUAAUCGUAGAUCAGAAUGCUACGGUGAAUACGUUCCCGGGUCU